This is a long non-coding RNA of Anopheles merus, 799 nucleotides long. RefSeq lists it as uncharacterized. The transcript is spliced from 2 exons. The record is from RefSeq and is a predicted model, not a curated record. NCBI's taxonomy places the organism in Eukaryota, Metazoa, Arthropoda, Insecta, Diptera, Culicidae.
CCGACGCUCGCACACGUCAGUCACCAUCGCGGCUGUCGUUUGCAUGCUCUGCCUUCCCUCACACUAUUAAAAAUAGUUUACUGAAGAAAUUGGUGAAUAAUUAAAGCGUCCUCCUACUUCCUUCGCGGGGAGGCGCAGAGUCUGUUUUGAGGAAUUGCCUCCCGCCGGGCAUAACCCUUCGCGUAGUACCGUACAACGUCAUUCGGGGGUGGUUCAACGGCUUCCAAAUCCACCCGGAACCGGGUGAAAAUGGCAGCCCUUACACAAGCACAACAACCGUCGCGGCAUCGCAGUAGGCACGACCCCGACGACUUCGCCUGAAGUUCGCCAUAUACUGAAAUAGCAAAACACGCGCAUUGCAAAACCAACACCGGGACAUUGGAGGAACGCUGCAAAAAGGAUGCUUACAAAUUAUUAAUUCCCCCCCUGCAGCUUACGCACGCACGGCUCACUGACUAUGCUAAUUAAUGCUCGCUGGCACUCAGGCAACGGGCGAAAGCCACGGCAGCGCAUGUGGAUGUCCUUCACCUCCACGCGGUGGCCUCACCGAAGGACCAGUGGGACGCACUCAGCCCCAAAGCAAGAGCAACCAGGGAAUAAGGGAAAGAUGAUAAAAACGAAACUUAAUUUUCUCUUCACGUGCCACUGUCACGCUAUGGCGCGAAGUUCCGAAUUGUUCGCGCGGCUCAGAUGGUGUAGGGUGUGAGUGUGUGAUAAAGCAAUACCACUCCCGGUUAAUUUCUAAGCAAUAAACACGAACGAAUAUACAAAGCUUGAAAGCUUCAACACGGGCAACAGA